Non-coding RNA from Marmota flaviventris (yellow-bellied marmot), 1117 nucleotides. The record is from RefSeq and is a predicted model, not a curated record. NCBI's taxonomy places the organism in Eukaryota, Metazoa, Chordata, Mammalia, Rodentia, Sciuridae.
ACUUCCUGCCCUGGGCCCUGGGGACAGGGACAGGCAGAGCUCUGUGUGGACACCCAGGGCGGAGCAGAGGGGCAGAAGGCCCGGAUGGUGCAGUGGGCAGAGGCAGCACAGUGACAAGUGGUCUUUGCAGUGAGAUAUCCCUGCAGCCUGUGGCUGUGAUGGGAGGGGGACGAGACCAGGUGUGGGGAGGUGACCCUUGGGGUCUCAGGAGGCCAUGGCCCUCACAGCAGGAAGGAAUCAGCCCUGUUGGGGGUGGUACCUGUGUCCUGUACAGAAAUGUCCCCAGGGUCCUGGGGGGACUUUGGCCCUAGCCACGCCCACCCCCUUCCUGAGUGAGCAUUUGGCAUGAAAUCAGGCCCAAGGCAUCCCCCAGUGGUGGGCGGGUUGCAGGACAGACCUCUGGGGUCAUUGUAGAUUUGCCACCAGCAACCUCAGGGACACUUACAAGUGUCACGACAGCGAAGAUCUUGACAACCACAAGAAGAGCCCAAGGUGCACUGUCCACCAGCCUGGCCACAGAGAGUGCCACCCCUGGUCCCAGGAGCCAGGACCUCGACCAUGGCCAGGGCCCAGGGGCCCUGGUCAUCAAUGUCCAUCUCCUGCUCCUGGCCUUGAAGGUGCUCCUGCUCCUGAGCAUGCUCAGUGCUGUCCUCUGGGUGAACAGGCCUCAGAGAAGCUCCAGGUCCAGGUGACGGGCAGCAUGACUGUGAAAACCAGUGACCUCUGCUGUCCUGAGGCCACCUCCAGGGACACCCCCUGCUGGAGGAGGGGACAACUCCUGACUUAUCUGCAUUUCUAUUAGAACCCUCUGAGGCCUUUGUGACCUUCUAGAAGCCUUUCCUUGGCUCAUCACAGACAUGGACAGGCGUGUCUAGUGCGUGCACUUCCAGCCAAGGCCACUGCAGCCCGUGUGCCCAGCCUGUCACGGGGCAUCGCUGAAGUGAUGCAGCUCUCUGGUCUCUUGUGCCUCCUUCCUACCCUCCUGGGGGGCCCUAACAGGGCUGCAUGCUCCUCCUCCACCUGCUUGAAGGUCUGCACUCCCAUGCGUAUGCUCCCCAGGGCGCGAGGUUUAGCUUUGCUCAUUGUUGAACUUUACAUAAACAGGAUUUUAUGUUCA